GGGUCGGUGGCACAGUGGUAGCGUAUGGGAUUGCAGUUAUAAACAACUAUCCUAUGGUCCCCGGUUCGAACCCGGGUCGGCCCU
Non-coding RNA from Didymella sp. IMI 355093, 84 nucleotides. Lineage: Eukaryota; Fungi; Ascomycota; Dothideomycetes; Pleosporales; Didymellaceae. The record is from the annotation of a GenBank genome assembly.